CCUACGGGAGGCAGCAGUGGGGAAUUUUGGACAAUGGGGGAAACCCUGAUCCAGCCAUGCCGCGUGAGGGAAGAAGGCCUUCGGGUUGUAAACCGCUUUYGUCUSSGAAGAAACGCUCCUGGCUAAUGACCACAGAAUAAUGACCGGACCCCUACAAUACGCACCGSSUAACUACAUGGCAGAAUYCGCUGAAAUCUGGGCGAAUUCUCUC
This 211-nucleotide ribosomal RNA is filed under the name uncultured beta proteobacterium. RNAcentral's name for it is "partial 16S ribosomal RNA". It matches the Rfam family "Bacterial small subunit ribosomal RNA", at positions 338 to 537 of the family's 1533-position model. Lineage: Bacteria; Pseudomonadati; Pseudomonadota; Betaproteobacteria. The record is from RNAcentral.